UCUGUUUUUAGGUUUUUGCAGAAUUUACUCGCAUUGCCUGCAAGAAUCUCCAGAGUGAAUUCUUUGAUGAACUUGACAGACACACACCCCGUCUAAUGAAGAUUUUUCGGUCUAAAACUGGAACCCUGGGUCAGACCUUAUCAAAAUUACUAGAGCAAGUUGAGUCAAGAAGAAACGCCAAUCAAACAUCAAAUCAGGAAACGGAAGUUACAAUUCGACGCACUGUGGUUCUUCGUGGUCUCCCUGUCCUUCUUGGGGACAACCCCUCAGAAUUUUUUAAGGUUUGCUUUGACUCAGAAGAAAACAACAUUGAGCAGAUUCCUGUUGGCAUUCUGUUAGUCGACGAUGAAGACUCUCCUCACUGCUCUUCGUUGAUCCGUGUACGUCCAGUCUCCACUGCUAUCAUCAUAGAGGGAGGUAUUGUUAUGGAUGAUGUCAGGGACCUGCCUCUUGCUGUUUGUCUCUUGUUUGGACUAUCAUAUGCACUCCAUCUUGAUUACCCAAAGAACAUGAAGAACACAUUCAACUUCAUCCAGCAAGUCAUGCUUGAUCUGGGAUCGAAGUCAUUGAAACCAAAACUUCAGACUUUGAAGAACCAGUUAUUUGCUUAAAUCAACACAUUUAGGUCAAAAUCAUCUGACCUGCAGUUCACAUAGCCACUACUGGGAUGACAUGAUUCAUGUCAUCACACAUGUCAUAGCAAGAA
This is a long non-coding RNA of Brienomyrus brachyistius, 706 nucleotides long. RefSeq lists it as uncharacterized. NCBI's taxonomy places the organism in Eukaryota, Metazoa, Chordata, Actinopteri, Osteoglossiformes, Mormyridae. The record is from RefSeq and is a predicted model, not a curated record. The transcript is spliced from 3 exons.